RNAcentral lists this ribosomal RNA (873 nucleotides) under uncultured bacterium. RNAcentral's name for it is "bacterial SSU rRNA". It matches the Rfam family "Bacterial small subunit ribosomal RNA", at positions 8 to 916 of the family's 1533-position model. The record is from RNAcentral.
AGAGUUUGAUCAUGGCUCAGGAUGAACGCUGGCGGUCUGCGUAACACAUGCAAGUCGAACGGAAUAUCCUCGGAUAUUUAGUGGCGGACGGGUGAGUAACGCGUGAGGAUCUGCCUUUAGGCUGGGGACAACUACUGGAAACGGUGGCUAAUACCCAAUAUGCUGAGAUGUGAAAUGGAGCAAUCCGCCUGAAGAUGAACUCGCGUCCGAUUAGCUAGUUGGAGUGGUAACGCCACACCAAGGCGACGAUCGGUAGCUGGUCUGAGAGGACGAUCAGCCACACUGGGACUGGGACACGGCCCAGACUCCUACGGGAGGCAGCAGUGGGGAAUUUUCCGCAAUGGGCGCAAGCCUGACGGAGCAAGACCGCGUGCGGGAGGAAAGUUUUAGGACUGUAAACCGCUUUUGUCAGGGAAGAACACAAUGACGGUACCUGACGAAUCAGCCUCGGCUAACUCCGUGCCAGCAGCCGCGGUAAUACGGAGGAGGCAAGCGUUAUCCGGAAUUAUUGGGCGUAAAGCGUCCGCAGGUGGUUUGGCAAGUCCGCUGUGAAAGCCAGUAGCUUAACUACUGAUCCGCAGUGGAAACUACCAGACUUUGAGAGCAGUAGGGGUCACGGGAAUUCCCAGUGUAGCGGUGAAAUGCGUAGAUAUUGGGAAGAACACCAGUGGCGAAGGCGCGUGACUGGGCUGCAUCUGACACUCAUGGACGAAAGCUAGGGGAGCGAAAGGGAUUAGAUACCCCUGUAGUCCUAGCUGUAAACGAUGGACACUCGAUGCUGCGCGUAUCGACCCGUGCAGUGUCUUAGCUAACGCGUUAAGUGUCCCGCCUGGGGAGUACGCACGCAAGUGUGAAACUCAAAGGAAUUGACGG